AUGACUCUCGGCAACGGAUAUCUUGGUCCUCGCAUCGAUGAAGAACGUAGCGAAAUGCGAUACUUGGUGUGAAUUGCAGAAUCCCGUGAACCAUCGAGUUUUUGAACGCAAAUUGCGCCCUAAGCUUCCGGGCCGAGGGCAAGCCUGCGUGGG
This 153-nucleotide ribosomal RNA is filed under the name Potamogeton obtusifolius. RNAcentral describes it as "5.8S ribosomal RNA". It matches the Rfam family "5.8S ribosomal RNA". From Rfam's summary of the family: 5.8S ribosomal RNA (5.8S rRNA) is a component of the large subunit of the eukaryotic ribosome. It is transcribed by RNA polymerase I as part of the 45S precursor that also contains 18S and 28S rRNA. Lineage: Eukaryota; Viridiplantae; Streptophyta; Magnoliopsida; Alismatales; Potamogetonaceae. The record is from RNAcentral.